Molecule: long non-coding RNA, 2566 nt
Organism: Cygnus olor (mute swan)
Lineage: Eukaryota; Metazoa; Chordata; Aves; Anseriformes; Anatidae
Exons: 2
Source: RefSeq, a predicted model, not a curated record
CGAAGAAAUCCGCUCAAACUCCUCGCCACGGGGGUGGGGUGGGAACUGGGGGCCACGCACCUUCGGGCUGUGCCCGGGGGGGGCCGGCUGGCGGGGGGGGGGGGGCUUGCUGAACCAGUACCAUAGAGACCUCUUUGGCCUUAUCUCGUCUCCAGCAGCCCUGGGGAGGGGAGAGGCGCUGAGAUUCCUGCCCGAUAAGAUGCUCGCCUGCAGCUCGCCCCUUGCAAAACUGCUCGCAUUCCUGCCCAACUCCCACGGAAGAAGGGGGGGGGGGGGGGGGGGGGGGGGGGGAGAGGCUAAUUUUAGUUUGCAAUUCUGCGAACCAAAUAAAAAACAAUGAUAACAACAAAUAAAAUAAUAAAUAAAUAAAUAAUAUAGAAGGAGAGCCGGGGAAAAAGUGUGAGCAAGGCAAAACUUACGGAGGUCGCCGGGGGAUGCUCGGGGUCCGCGCUCCGCCUGGAGCCCCGCCGCCGCCGCGCUCCGCACUAAGCGCCUGUCCCACUGUCCCAGCAUUAAACAGCUCUAGCAGCUGCGAUGGUGGACAGUUAAGAUUAUAUAUGAUGUAAAUAUAUUGUGGGUUUGUCAGCUCCCCCAAACCAUAAAACUUAGUUUAAUGACAUCACGUGCUCCCUGAGAGCCAUUCAGGGCUUUUGCUUAGGGCCAUCCACAUAAAUAACCUUCAAAAGUUUUAAACUACUAAAUUCACAUAGAAGCCAUGAGUAUUUCUGCUAAUGUUCUCAUGUUCUCGGUGAAAGUAAAAGAGCUUUGCUUUUUUUAAAAAAGUCCUGGAUUUAUAUAAAAAAAAUGCAACUUUGGUUUGUUUGUUGUUUUUGGGCCAUUUUAAGUUCUCACUGGGUUGACACGGAUGACGGGGCAAGGUGCUCGGGGGCUGUUGUAUCCGAGACCUGUGUGAUAACCGUGUGACUAGGAGUCGAGAAAGUUAAGUGUUUUAUUACUUCUCUAAACAGAGGGCAAGUCUUAAAAGUCUGGUCGAUUUAUAGUGAACAGAAACCAGCUGCCGUAAAGAAACUUAAAAUAGAAUCCUCUCCCCACGUUAAAAAUCAGGUUUCUGGGUAGAAAAGAGAGACACAGAGAGGAGAGGGUAGGAAGAAAAAAAAAAAAAAAAAAAAAAAAAAAAGCACAGCCACCCCAAAAAGCUCCUGCAAAUACAAAUGAGGCAACAUUAAAGUAUGUUUUGCUCACUGCAAUUCCUCAGUCUCACGUUUUGAAUGCACUGGAUAUUUUUUUCCCAUUGAUAUUUGCUAGCAGUUUGGGGAUUUCUCGAAAGUAUUUCAUCAAGAUAUGUCACUACCAAAAAGGUAUUUAUUUUUUCCCCCAUGAAAACAUGUACAGGGAAUAUGUGGGGCGCUUUCUGGUUAAAUUGGUCUGCAAACAAUUAUGUAAACUCAUCAGCAGAAGCAAGAACAGAUGUUUUAUUAAAAGUGCUACACAGCAGUAGAAAUAUGUACAAGUCUUCGAGUAGCUCUUUAAUAGGAGUUGCUCUUUGUUCCCAGAAAAGAAAAGCGCCCAUAGAAAUCUGAAAUAACAUUCACCACUCAUAAGCCAUAUUCCCCCCUUUUUUUCCCCCUUCUCCCCACUCUGAUGUUCACACAGAGAGGGAGGGGAGAGGGAAAGGAGGGGGGGGGGAGAAAGAAAAAAUAUGUGUCGGGAGAUUUCCUCCCCCCUCCCAGCUAUAAUUAGCGAAUUGAUGAACUGAUUUAGAAAAAGGCUUCAAAAAAAUGCAAGCCCAACACAUGUGUUUUCUAUCCCUCAGUAAUUACUGAAAGGAAACAAAUCCAAAUCGGUGUCCCCCCCUCCCUCCUUAAACAGCCUACAGCCUUAAUAAACCGCUACUGUCAGGCUCGCAUUCUGCGCAGCCCUGCGAGCCGCGGGUUGUUUGUUUGAAGAGGGGCUGGGUGGGAUUUGCUGUUUUGUUCCAGCCACGUUGACCACUUGGGUCCGAGCCCGGCCUGGGGAGCAGCCGGGUCCGUCCCCCCCCCCCCCCCCGCGGCCAUGCCAUGCCCGGGGACCGGGACACGCCGGGGCCACCGAGCCCCAACGUGCCCCCCCCUCUCCGGAGCAAAAAAAGAAUCCCAAUGGUACAAGCAGGGUGCGUGUGGGGGGGUUGUUAUGCCAAGUGCUUGCAAAACGCCUCUUUUUGAGAUGCGGGCGGGCGGGGGGGGCACCCCUGUGCUGCAGAGGGGCGAUGUCCCCCCCCCCAGAUGUGCCCACAGCCCUGAGUGUGCAAGGCGCACACGCGCGUACACGCCACUGACAUCUGGCCAUAAGGCUGCGUGCUCACAUCUGAUUAAAUACUUGAAGCUCUUAGAGGUAAAUACAAGUGAUGCCAUUAAAAGCCUUUUUAUUUAAACUGAUUUCACCUUGUAUAUGUUAUCUCUUCCUUCCCCCCCUUCCCUUUGCUUCCCCCCCCCCCUUUUUUUUUUAACUUGACAUUUAUGGCACACGUGAGUCCUAAUUAUUUAUUUGGGUCUUUCGCUGGGAAUUUAUUCCUGCUCUUUACAACAGGGCUUUCCUAGUCAAAUAUUGCUUUUGCUGUAAAUAACGC